GGGGAAUCCGCGCGCUUAACGCGCGGGCGUCCGGUGGAAACUGCGUGGCUUGGGACCGGAAGACCAGAGGGGUACGUCCGGGGUAGGAGUGAAAUCCCGUAAUCCUGGACGGACCACCGGUGGCGAAAGCGCCUCUGGAAGACGGAUCCGACGGUGAGGGACGAAAGCUCGGGUCACGAACCGGAUUAGAUACCCGGGUAGUCCUAGCUGUAAACGAUGUCCGCUAGGUGUGGCGCAGGCUACGAGCCUGCGCUGUGCCGUAGGGAAGCCGAGAAGCGGACCGCCUGGGAAGUACGUCUGCAAGGAUGAAACUUAAAGGAAUUGGCGGGGGAGCACUACAACCGGAGGAGCCUGCGGUUUAAUUGGACUCAACGCCGGACAUCUCACCAGCCCCGACAGUAGUCAUGACGGUCAGGUUGAUGACCUUACCCGACGCUACUGAGAGGAGGUGCAUGGCCGCCGUCAGCUCGUACCGUGAGGCGUCCUGUUAAGUCAGGCAACGAGCGAGACCCGCACUUCUAGUUGCCAGCAAUACCCUUGAGGUAGUUGGGUACACUAGGAGGACUGCCGCUGCUAAAGCGGAGGAAGGAACGGGCAACGGUAGGUCAGUAUGCCCCGAAUGGACCGGGCAACACGCGGGCUACAAUGGCUAUGACAGUGGGAUGCAACGCCGAGAGGCGACGCUAAUCUCCAAACGUAGUCGUAGUUCGGAUUGCGGGCUGAAACCCGCCCGCAUGAAGCUGGAUUCGGUAGUAAUCGCGUGUCAGAAGCGCGCGGUGAAUACGUCCCUGCUCCUUGCACACACCGCCCCGUCAAGCACCCGAGUGGGGUCCGGAUGAGGCCGUCAUGCGACGGUCCGAUCUGGGCUCCGAAGGGGGCUUAAGUCGUAACAGGUA
Molecule: ribosomal RNA, 896 nt
Filed under: uncultured archaeon
Lineage: Archaea
Description: bacterial SSU rRNA
Rfam family: Archaeal small subunit ribosomal RNA
Source: RNAcentral